AAUUACGCGGCGGGGCUGUCGCCGUACGCGGACAAGGGCAAGUGCGGCCUCCCGGAGGGGUCCCCACGGAGUCUGGACCAUGGAGGAGCGAGGUCUGGCCCCCAAGUUCGACACCACCUUUGAGAGCGCGCGGCCCACGCAGACCCACAUGGCGCUGGUGCAGCUGGAGCGCGUGGGCCUCCUCCGCUUCCUGGUCAGCCAGAACGUGGACGGGCUCCAUGUGCGCUCAGGCUUCCCCAGGGACAAACUGGCAGAGCUCCACGGGAACAUGUUUGUGGAAGAAUGUGCCAAGUGUAAGACGCAGUACGUCCGAGACACAGUCGUGGGCACCAUGGGCCUGAAGGCCACGGGCCGGCUCUGCACCGUGGCUAAGGCAAGGGGGCUGCGAGCCUGCAGGUGAGCCACCCCCACCCAUGCCCUGGGCUCCAGGGGAGGCUGCGAGGCCCCUGAGGACUCUCCUCAGCUUCCUCAUUGCAGGGGAGAGCUGAGGGACACCAUCCUAGACUGGGAGGACUCCCUGCCCGACCGGGACCUGGCACUCGCCGAUGAGGCCAGCAGGUCUGACCCCCCACCCCCAGGGAGCCCAUGGUGGGGCGGGGCGGGACGACAGCAGAAACACAGCCAGCUCCAGCAUGGGACAGUGGCUGAGGCUCACAGGCAGUGAGGGGAGGCUUCCUGGAGCAGGUGGGCCAGGCCAGGGGCUGCACACACGCACUCACACACACUCGUCACCUCAUGGCUCUGGGUGGGUGCUACACAAGGAAACCAAGGCUUCCGCCAGGUGUCUCCUCUAUCCAGUGCUGCCCAGCCGGGAGGUGACCGAGCCAGGGUCCCACCCUAGGUGUCCAAGCUCUUACCACACUGUGAUACUCCCCGGAAGUGUCUAAGGGCCCGCCCAGAUCAAUGACCCCGCCAACGGACCGCAGAGGAGGGCAGGGCGGGAUCCCAAAGGCUGACUCGGGAGUGGGGCUGGCCUUGACCGCCCCGGUGAGCACAGAUGGCCUAGGUGUGAACCGGCCCCCAGGGCUGGCUCGGGAUGUUGGCAGGAGCAGGGCAUCAGGCUCAGCCCACGCUCCCCGGCCCCAGGAACGCCGACCUGUCCAUCACGCUGGGUACAUCGCUGCAGAUCCGGCCCAGCGGGAACCUGCCGCUGGCUACCAAGCGCCGGGGAGGCCGCCUGGUCAUCGUCAACCUGCAGCCCACCAAGCACGACCGCCAUGCUGACCUCCGCAUCCAUGGCUACGUUGACGAGGUCAUGACCCGGCUCAUGAAGCACCUGGGGCUGGAGAUCCCCGCCUGGGACGGCCCCCGUGUGCUGGAGAGGGCGCUGCCACCCCUGCCCCGCCCGCCCACCCCCAAGCUGGAGCCCAAGGAGGAAUCUCCCACCCGGAUCAACGGCUCUAUCCCCGCCGGCCCCAAGCAGGAGCCCUGCGCCCAGCACAACGGCUCAGAGCCCGCCAGCCCCAAACGGGAGCGGCCCACCAGCCCUGCCCCCCACAGACCCCCCAAAAGGGUGAAGGCCAAGGCGGUCCCCAGC
Molecule: long non-coding RNA, 1537 nt
Filed under: Homo sapiens (human)
Lineage: Eukaryota; Metazoa; Chordata; Mammalia; Primates; Hominidae
Description: non-protein coding lnc-MAP2K2-3:2
Source: RNAcentral